This 301-nucleotide ribosomal RNA is filed under the name uncultured bacterium. RNAcentral describes it as "partial 16S ribosomal RNA". It matches the Rfam family "Bacterial small subunit ribosomal RNA", at positions 509 to 807 of the family's 1533-position model. The record is from RNAcentral.
CAGUCGCCGCGGGAAUACGUAGGUGGCAAGCGUUGUCCGGAAUUAUUGGGCGUAAAGGGCUCGCAGGCGGUUUCUUAAGUCUGAUGUGAAAGCCCCCGGCUCAACCGGGGAGGGUAAUUGGAAACUGGGAAACUUGAGUGCAGAAGAGGAGAGUGGAAUUCCACGUGUAGCGGUGAAAUGCGUAGAGAUGUGGAGGAACACCAGUGGCGAAGGCGACUCUCUGGUCUGUAACUGACGCUGAGGAGCGAAAGCGUGGGGAGCGAACAGGAUUAGAUACCCCCGUAGUCCCUGUCUCUUAUAC